RNAcentral lists this ribosomal RNA (500 nucleotides) under uncultured Glomeromycotina. Its description in RNAcentral is "partial small subunit ribosomal RNA". It matches the Rfam family "Eukaryotic small subunit ribosomal RNA", at positions 591 to 1092 of the family's 1831-position model. Lineage: Eukaryota; Fungi; Glomeromycota. The record is from RNAcentral.
CCAAUAGCGUAUAUUAAAGUUGUUGCAGUUAAAAAGCUCGUAGUUGAAUUUCGGGGUCAGUAGGUCGGUCGUGCCACAGGUAUGCACUGGUCUCACUGAUUCCUCCUUCCUGAUGAACCGUAAUGCCAUUAAUUUGGUGUUGCGGGGAGCCUGGACUGUUACUUUGAAAAAAUUAGAGUGUUUAAAGCAGGCUAACGCUUGAAUACAUUAGCAUGGAAUAACGGAAUAGGACGUUCGAUCUUAUUUUGUUGGUUUCUAAGAUUGACGUAAUGAUUAAUAGGGAUAGUUGGGAGCAUUAGUAUUCAAUUGUCAGAGGUGAGAUUCUUGGAUUUAUUGAAGACUAACUACUGCGAAAGCAUUUGCCAAGGAUGUUUUCAUUAAUCAAGAACGAAAGUUAGGGGAUCGAAGACGAUCAGAUACCGUCGUAGUCUUAACCAUAAACUAUGCCGACUAGGGAUCGGAUGAUGUUAAUUUUUUAAUGACUCAUUCGGCGCCUUACG